Molecule: ribosomal RNA, 661 nt
Filed under: Escherichia coli
Lineage: Bacteria; Pseudomonadati; Pseudomonadota; Gammaproteobacteria; Enterobacterales; Enterobacteriaceae
Also listed under: 1 other name
Description: partial 23S ribosomal RNA
Rfam family: Bacterial large subunit ribosomal RNA
Source: RNAcentral
UUGACUGGGGCGGUCUCCUCCUAAAGAGUAACGGAGGAGCACGAAGGUUGGCUAAUCCUGGUCGGACAUCAGGAGGUUAGUGCAAUGGCAUAAGCCAGCUUGACUGCGAGCGUGACGGCGCGAGCAGGUGCGAAAGCAGGUCAUAGUGAUCCGGUGGUUCUGAAUGGAAGGGCCAUCGCUCAACGGAUAAAAGGUACUCCGGGGAUAACAGGCUGAUACCGCCCAAGAGUUCAUAUCGACGGCGGUGUUUGGCACCUCGAUGUCGGCUCAUCACAUCCUGGGGCUGAAGUAGGUCCCAAGGGUAUGGCUGUUCGCCAUUUAAAGUGGUACGCGAGCUGGGUUUAGAACGUCGUGAGACAGUUCGGUCCCUAUCUGCCGUGGGCGCUGGAGAACUGAGGGGGGCUGCUCCUAGUACGAGAGGACCGGAGUGGACGCAUCACUGGUGUUCGGGUUGUCAUGCCAAUGGCACUGCCCGGUAGCUAAAUGCGGAAGAGAUAAGUGCUGAAAGCAUCUAAGCACGAAACUUGCCCCGAGAUGAGUUCUCCCUGACCCUUUAAGGGUCCUGAAGGAACGUUGAAGACGACGACGUUGAUAGGCCGGGUGUGUAAGCGCAGCGAUGCGUUGAGCUAACCGGUACUAAUGAACCGUGAGGCUUAACCUU